Molecule: ribosomal RNA, 603 nt
Filed under: uncultured bacterium
Lineage: Bacteria
Description: bacterial SSU rRNA
Rfam family: Bacterial small subunit ribosomal RNA
Source: RNAcentral
CAAUAAGUACCCCGCCUGGGGAGUACGACCGCAAGGUUGAAACUCAAAGGAAUUGACGGGGGCCCGCACAAGCGGUGGAGUAUGUGGUUUAAUUCGACGCAACGCGAAGAACCUUACCAGGUCUUGACAUNGNNGGACAGAACUAGAGAUAGUUCCUCUUCUUCGGAAGCCAGAAAACAGGUGGUGCACGGUUGUCGUCAGCUCGUGUCGUGAGAUGUUGGGUUAAGUCCCGCAACGAGCGCAACCCCUAUCUUAUGUUGCCAGCACUUUGGGUGGGGACUCAUGAGAGACUGCCGCAGACAAUGCGGAGGAAGGCGGGGANGACGUCAAAUCAUCAUGCCCCUUAUGACCUGGGCUACACACGUACUACAAUGGGAGUUAAUAGACGGAAGCGAGAUCGCGAGAUGGAGCAAACCCGAGAAACACUCUCUCAGUUCGGAUCGUAGGCUGCAACUCGCCUACGUGAAGUCGGAAUCGCUAGUAAUCGCAGGUCAGCAUACUGCGGUGAAUACGUUCCCGGGCCUUGUACACACCGCCCGUCACACCACGAAAGUCGGAAGUGCCCAAAGCCGGUGGGGUAACCUUCGGGAGCCAGCCGUNUAA